CUGGCGGCGUGCCUAAUACAUGCAAGUCGAGCGAACAGAUAAGGAGCUUGCUCCUUUGACGUUAGCGGCGGACGGGUGAGUAACACGUGGGUAACCUACCUAUAAGACUGGGAUAACUUCGGGAAACCGGAGCUAAUACCGGAUAAUAUUUCGAACCGCAUGGUUCGAUAGUGAAAGAUGGUUUUGCUAUUACUUAUAGAUGGACCCGCGCCGUAUUAGCUAGUUGGUAAGGUAACGGCUUACCAAGGCGACGAUACGUAGCCGACCUGAGAGGGUGAUCGGCCACACUGGAACUGAGACACGGUCCAGACUCCUACGGGAGGCAGCAGUAGGGAAUCUUCCGCAAUGGGCGAAAGCCUGACGGAGCAACGCCGCGUGAGUGAUGAAGGUCUUCGGAUCGUAAAACUCUGUUAUUAGGGAAGAAUAUACGUGUAAGUAACUAUGCACGUCUUGACGGUACCUAAUCAGAAAGCCACGGCUAACUACGUGCCAGCAGCCGCGGUAAUACGUAGGUGGCAAGCGUUAUCCGGAAUUAUUGGGCGUAAAGCGCGCGUAGGCGGUUUUUUAAGUCUGAUGUGAAAGCCCACGGCUCAACCGUGGAGGCUCAUUGGAAACUGGAAAACUUGAGUGCAGAAGAGGAAAGUGGAAUUCCAUGCGUAGCGGUGAAAUGCGCAGAGAUAUGGAGGAACACCAGUGGCGAAGGCGACUUUCUGGUCUGUAACUGACGCUGAUGUGCGAAAGCGUGGGGAUCAAACAGGAUUAGAUACCCUGGUAGUCC
Molecule: ribosomal RNA, 778 nt
Filed under: uncultured bacterium
Lineage: Bacteria
Description: bacterial SSU rRNA
Rfam family: Bacterial small subunit ribosomal RNA
Source: RNAcentral